UAACAAUCGGUAUUCUGUCUGUUGACAUAA
RNAcentral lists this non-coding RNA (30 nucleotides) under Mus musculus (house mouse). Lineage: Eukaryota; Metazoa; Chordata; Mammalia; Rodentia; Muridae. The record is from RNAcentral.